Molecule: ribosomal RNA, 498 nt
Filed under: uncultured bacterium
Lineage: Bacteria
Description: partial 16S ribosomal RNA
Rfam family: Bacterial small subunit ribosomal RNA
Source: RNAcentral
AUUGAACGCUGGCGGCAUGCCUUACACAUGCAAGUCGAACGGUAACAGGUCUUCGGAUGCUGACGAGUGGCGAACGGGUGAGUAAUACAUCGGAACGUGCCUAGUAGUGGGGGAAAACUACUCGAAAGAGUGGCUAAUACCGCAUGAGAUCUACGGAUGAAAGCAGGGGAUCGCAAGACCUUGUGCUACUAGAGCGGCCGAUGGCAGAUUAGGUAGUUGGUGGGAUAAAAGCUUACCAAGCCGACGAUCUGUAGCUGGUCUGAGAAGACGAUCAGCCACACUGGGACUGAGACACGGCCCAGACUCCUACGGGAGGCAGCAGUGGGGAAUUUUGGACAAUGGGCGAGAGCCUGAUCCAGCAAUGCCGCGUGCAGGAUGAAGGCCUUCGGGUUGUAAACUGCUUUUGUACGGAACGGAAAGCCCCGGGUUAAUACCCUGGGGUCAUGACGGUACCGUAAGAAUAAGCACCGGCUAACUACGUGCCAGCAGCCGCCGUAA